CAUAAAACAUAACUACCUCCUAAUAAAAGUAAGCCAUACUGACAUACAUUUUUUGCUUCAAAUACCGAUGGUUAAAUUUUAAAUCUGGUAUUAUUUCUCCCAACACUUUUAAUCAAACUUACAAUCAUGUACUGAUGUAUUUGAUUCUGUUGCAAGUUAUUGCCAGCACAAAUUAAAGUAAUGCAGUGUUAAUCUAUAGGUCUUUUUGAUGGAUAGUCAGUAAUUGUAUGUACUUGCAUUUGCAUAGAUACGCUAAAGUUCAAAGCAGAAUAUCAUAAAAUCACUUCCUUCAACUGUUGCAUUUUCUUAUUUAAAUAGUUUUGUAAAUGCUUGAUAAUUAUGUAUUCAUGUUGUUUGAAGCCAUUUUGAAUAUGCAGCUUAUUUGUUUGUUUAAAAAAAAUUGUGUACAUUCACAUGAGACCCAGAAUUCCUGAUCUUUU
This 440-nucleotide long non-coding RNA is filed under the name Mytilus galloprovincialis (Mediterranean mussel). The record is from RNAcentral. Lineage: Eukaryota; Metazoa; Mollusca; Bivalvia; Mytilida; Mytilidae.